RNAcentral lists this long non-coding RNA (308 nucleotides) under Pongo abelii (Sumatran orangutan). RNAcentral describes it as "lincRNA". Lineage: Eukaryota; Metazoa; Chordata; Mammalia; Primates; Hominidae. The record is from RNAcentral.
GAGGCAGAUCCUGCAGCUCCAAAACACCCUCCAAGCUUCACGUUGCCACUUGGUUCUGGGAGAUCAGGCCACGGCAAUCUGUGGCUUCCCUUGCUCCUGAACUUAAGCCUCUGAUUCCCUCUCCUGUUGGAGCCUUUAACACGAGUCUGACUGUGUCACCCAGGCUGGAGUGCAGUGGCGUGAUCUCGGCUUACUACAACCUCUGCCUCCUGGGUUCAAGUGAUUCUCCUGCCUCAGCCUCCAGAGUAGCUGGGAUUACAGGUCAUCUUUUCCACUGAUCCUCUGCCUUGAGCUGCGUUAUCUCACAC